RNAcentral lists this ribosomal RNA (253 nucleotides) under uncultured bacterium. RNAcentral's name for it is "partial 16S ribosomal RNA". It matches the Rfam family "Bacterial small subunit ribosomal RNA", at positions 524 to 776 of the family's 1533-position model. The record is from RNAcentral.
UACGUAGGGUGCAAGCGUUGUCCGGAAUUAUUGGGCGUAAAGAGCUCGUAGGCGGUUUGUCGCGUCGACUGUGAAAACCCGAGGCUUAACCUCGGGCCUGCAGUCGAUACGGGCAGACUAGAGUUCGGUAGGGGAGACUGGAAUUCCUGGUGUAGCGGUGGAAUGCGCAGAUAUCAGGAGGAACACCAAUAGCGAAGGCAGCUCGCUGGGACGGUACUGACGCUGAGGCGCGAAAGCGUGGGGAGCGAACAGG